RNAcentral lists this ribosomal RNA (254 nucleotides) under uncultured bacterium. RNAcentral describes it as "partial 16S ribosomal RNA". It matches the Rfam family "Bacterial small subunit ribosomal RNA", at positions 524 to 776 of the family's 1533-position model. The record is from RNAcentral.
UACGUAGGGGGCAAGCGUUGUCCGGAUUUAUUGGGCGUAAAGAGCGUGUAGGCGGUUUGGUAGGUCCGUUGUGAAAACUCCAGGCUCAACCUGGAGACGCCACCCGAUACUGCCAUGGCUAGAGUCCGGUAGGGGACCACGGAAUUCCUGGUGUAGCGGUGAAAUGCGCAGAUAUCAGGAGGAACACCGGUGGCGAAGGCGGUGGUCUGGGCCGGAACUGACGCUGAGGAGCGAAAGCGUGGGGAGCGAACAGG